GCUGUGAUUGUGUAGUGGUUAGUACUCUGCGUUGUAGCUGCAGCAACACGGUUCGAAUCCCGGUCACGGCA
Molecule: non-coding RNA, 71 nt
Organism: Danio rerio (zebrafish)
Lineage: Eukaryota; Metazoa; Chordata; Actinopteri; Cypriniformes; Danionidae
Source: Rfam